UACGGAGGGUGCAAGCGUUGUUCGGAAUCACUGGGCGUAAAGCGCGUGUAGGCGGUCUGUUAAGUCAGGUGUGAAAUCCCCCAGCUUAACUGGGGAAUUGCGCCUGAAACUGGCAGGCUGGAGUGUCGGAGAGGGAAGGGGAACUCCCGGUGUAGAGGUGAAAUUCGUAGAUAUCGGGAAGAACACCGGUGGCGAAGGCGCCUUCCUGGACGAUAACUGACGCUGAGACGCGAAAGCGUGGGGAGCAAACAGG
This 253-nucleotide ribosomal RNA is filed under the name uncultured bacterium. Its description in RNAcentral is "partial 16S ribosomal RNA". It matches the Rfam family "Bacterial small subunit ribosomal RNA", at positions 524 to 776 of the family's 1533-position model. The record is from RNAcentral.